AACGCUGGCGGCGUGCCUAACACAUGCAAGUCGAACGAAGCAUCCGCCCGAAGAAGAGGAGUGCUUGCACAAAUCGGACUCAAUUGGGAUGACUUAGUGGCGGACGGGUGAGUAACGCGUGGGUAACCUGCCGUGUGCAGGGGGAUAACAGUUAGAAAUGACUGCUAAUACCGCAUAAGCGCACACUGUCGCAUGACAGAGUGUGAAAAGCCGAGACGGCACACGAUGGACCCGCGUCUGAUUAGCCAGUUGGCAGGGUAACGGCCUACCAAAGCGACGAUCAGUAGCCGGCCUGAGAGGGUGAACGGCCACAUUGGGACUGAGACACGGCCCAAACUCCUACGGGAGGCAGCAGUGGGGAAUAUUGGGCAAUGGGGGGAACCCUGACCCAGCAACGCCGCGUGAGGGAAGAAGGUUUUCGGAUCGUAAACCUCUGUCUUUGGUGAAGAAGAAAGUGACGGUAGCCAAGGAGGAAGCCACGGCUAACUACGUGCC
This 495-nucleotide ribosomal RNA is filed under the name uncultured organism. RNAcentral describes it as "SSU rRNA". It matches the Rfam family "Bacterial small subunit ribosomal RNA", at positions 32 to 509 of the family's 1533-position model. The record is from RNAcentral.